CAUAUUUGUUUGUCGUGUGCUGAAGCGUGCCUCACCCUGACAGUUUUCUCAGUCACUUCAGAAAACUUUGUAAGCGAAAACCCAGACUGAGACCAACGAACAAGCAAAAGUUUCUCAAACUGAAAGGGAAUUGAGGGGGAGAAUUUUCUCCUUUCUUGACUCUAGAGAAGGUGGCCCCAGAGAGCUGUGUCAUUAAGUAUCAUAAACUCCUUUUGUUUAGUUUUGUUCUUUGGGGAAGUGUCGGUGUACUCGUUUUCUAUUGCUGCUGUAGCCAAUUGCCACAACCUUAAUGGCUUAGACAACGCAAAUUUCUUAUUGUUCUCCAGGUUGGAAGUCCAACACAAGUUUCCUGGGCUAAAAAUCAAGGUGUCAGCAGGGCUGCAUUCCUUUCUGGAGGGUUUAGGGGAGGACUUAUUUCCUUGCCUUUUCCAGCUUCUAGAGGAUGCUCACAUUCUUUGGUUUCUGCCCCCUUCCUCCAUCAUUAAAACCAGCAACGUAUUUUUUAAAACUACGGUUCGAGAAGGAAAAAUGUGCCUUAAUUGUCCACAGCUUGCUGGUGCUUUUGUGUGUGAGAUAGGGCAGUCCAGACUGGCUUGUUCCUGUCUCCAUGCCUGUCUGCUAAAGAGAUGCUCUGUUGGGUGCAUAUCAUGUAGAUGAUCUGAUUAUUGCAGAGAAAUAAAGAAGUUACAUUUUCUUUUCCAGUCUGAGUGAGGAUGCAAUGUUUUCCAGGAAGUGAACAGCAUAGCAGUAGAUGUUUUGACCUGUGGAAAGCAUCACUUAAUUCUGUAAAGUGUUAAGUGAAAGUUUUAAACCAUGAGUUGACCUUUGGCCUGUGAAGCUGAAUAAAUUGUUCAAAUCUUACCCCUAAAUGUCUCAUUACACAGCCUGAGCUGGCACUGGAAAGGAUUGAAGUGAAGAAGAUGUGUGCGCUCUGAACCCCUGAAGCAUGAGCCUCACUCCGUCCAACAGAAGGUGGUGCUGAGAUCUGCAGAAGCCAAAUGAGGAAAUUAUGAUGAAAUAUUUGACCUACAUCGGGAAAUGUCAAUUAAAAUAAGGUACACUUGCCUGAUGCAUAUGGAGACUGAAGUAGCAGUAAUUUUCCAGCUUCUCGUUCUACUAGUUACCAACCAGCUCUACGAGCAAAAACAUCUGGGAAGCCAGAUACCAUUGGUAGAACAGGUUUUGUUUCUUUUUAUUUCCAGAAGUGCUCUAAAAUUCAUGCUCCGAAAAUCGCCAGAGGAAAAGAAUACGGGUUUGUAGUGAAAAUCUCUCUUUCACAAGAAAAGGCAUUAGAGAUAAAUUUCUUGAUUUUCCCCUGUGUUUGAUCUCCAUACAACUGACAUCCUUGUUUACGUGAUGGCUUCAGCAAGGAUCCAUUUGGGGAGUGUUGUAAAUGAAUAUUGACCCCUAAAGAAUACGUCCACAUUCUAACCCCAGAAUCUGUGAAUAAGACCUUACUUGAAAAAGGAUCUUUGCAGAUGUAAUUAAGGAUCUUGAGGUAAGAUCAUCCUGGAUUAUCCAAGUGAGCCUUCAAUACAAUCACAAACAUUCUUGCAAGAGAUGAGAAAGGAGAAGACACAGGCAAGCGGAAGGAAAAGACAUAUGAGGAUGAAGACAGACAUUGAAGUUAUGCAGCCAUAAGCCAAGGAUUUCCUGGAGCAACCAGAAGCUGGAAGAAGCAAGAACGGAUUGUCCUCUACAGACUUCAGAGCGGGUGCUGUCCUAUGAACACCUUGAGUUUGGACUGCUGGCCUCCAAAAUUGUGAGAGAAUGAACUUCUGUAGUUUUAAGCCACCAAACAUGGUAAUUUGUUAUGUCAGCCGUAGGAAACUAAGCCAGAGAGUAUGAUCAUCUUAACAGUACUAUGUUUCCCUAUUUGUGAAUGUGUAAUGUCUUUCCACUUAUUUAUCUAUCUUCUUUAAUUUCCUUCAACA
Molecule: non-coding RNA, 1934 nt
Organism: Equus caballus (horse)
Lineage: Eukaryota; Metazoa; Chordata; Mammalia; Perissodactyla; Equidae
Source: RefSeq, a predicted model, not a curated record